RNAcentral lists this long non-coding RNA (223 nucleotides) under Lathyrus oleraceus (garden pea). Its description in RNAcentral is "Pisum sativum (pea) long non-coding RNA (PSAT_LNC040907)". The record is from RNAcentral. Lineage: Eukaryota; Viridiplantae; Streptophyta; Magnoliopsida; Fabales; Fabaceae.
AAAAAAAAGAGAAAAGAAAAACAAAAGAGAAAAAUGCACUUGCCGAGACUUAAGACUCUAACACAUAUAAAAUGCUCGAAAAAUUUGAGUAGAAAAAGAGUCAAAAGAGUGAAAUUAACCCCCAGAGUAUACGUGAUGCACGAGAAAAAGAGAAAGAAAAAUCACACAACAUGACUACCGAGUUCAAAACCCUUUGUUAUCCAUUUUUUUUGUUUAUCCCACC